GGGGGCCCGCAAGCGGUGGAGCAUGUGGUUUAAUUCGAUGCAACGCGAAGAACCUUACCUACUCUUGACAUCCAGAGAACUUAGCAGAGAUGCUUUGGUGCCUUCGGGAACUCUGAGACAGGUGCUGCAUGGCUGUCGUCAGCUCGUGUUGUGAAAUGUUGGGUUAAGUCCCGCAACGAGCGCAACCCUUAUCCUUUGUUGCCAGCGGUUAGGCCGGGAACUCAAAGGAGACUGCCAGUGAUAAACUGGAGGAAGGUGGGGAUGACGUCAAGUCAUCAUGGCCCUUACGAGUAGGGCUACACACGUGCUACAAUGGCGCAUACAAAGAGAAGCGAACUCGCGAGAGCAAGCGGACCUCAUAAAGUGCGUCGUAGUCCGGAUCGGAGUCUGCAACUCGACUCCGUGAAGUCGGAAUCGCUAGUAAUCGUGGAUCAGAAUGCCACGGUGAAUACGUUCCCGGGCCUUGUACACACC
This 474-nucleotide ribosomal RNA is filed under the name uncultured bacterium. Its description in RNAcentral is "bacterial SSU rRNA". It matches the Rfam family "Bacterial small subunit ribosomal RNA", at positions 915 to 1391 of the family's 1533-position model. The record is from RNAcentral.